This 619-nucleotide long non-coding RNA is filed under the name Cavia porcellus (domestic guinea pig). Its description in RNAcentral is "lncRNA (ENSCPOG00000036425.1)". Lineage: Eukaryota; Metazoa; Chordata; Mammalia; Rodentia; Caviidae. The record is from RNAcentral.
AUAAGAUUGACCACCACAAGAAAAAUUUAUAAAAAUUCUCAUUUUUUUUUUUUACUUAGACCAAACUUAAAGAAAUGGAGAUUAAUGAAUUUGUGGUCCAGGUCGAAAACCUUACAGCACAACUGAAAGAAGAGGAGAAAGAGUUUAUAAUGAAGGAAAAAAAGUUAAUUCAUGACUUAACCAUAUUUGAGGAUUUAAUUCUUAAGGAAACAAAAAUUAACAAAGAAACAGAAGAAGAGCUUAAUGAUAGUCUUCCACAACUUCAUAUGGCAGAAGAAGAGUACAUGGAAAAACACCGAAAGCUACAAGAGCUCUGUGCGAUCCUCGCAGGAGAAAUUAAAGGAACAAUUAAAACAAGUACGAGAUCUAGAAAGCCAGAAAAUCAAAGAACAUUUUGAAAUUCUAAAGAACUUAGAAAAUGAAAUCUACUUACAUGACCAAAAAGUAGACCUUUUGCUUCUGGAAAAUAAAAGAAUAAAAGAAUACAUUUCAUACUUAAAGAACAAAACAGAGGAAUACAGAAAAGGACAAGACUUCCUCACGUACAGCUUCAAGGACCUGUCCUGGGAACUGAUAGCCCAACACAGUAAGUAAUGUAUCCUGGAUCCUCUUGAUACAU